UUCCCAGCCAACGCACCAAAAAUGAUAUGGGUCUGUUGUCUGGAGAAAC
Homo sapiens (human) is the source of this 49-nucleotide microRNA precursor. The record is from Ensembl. NCBI's taxonomy places the organism in Eukaryota, Metazoa, Chordata, Mammalia, Primates, Hominidae.